GAUGAACGCUAGCUACAGGCUUAACACAUGCAAGUCGAGGGGCAGCAUGAUUGAAGCUUGCUUCAAUUGAUGGCGACCGGCGCACGGGUGAGUAACACGUAUCCAACCUUCCGUACACUCAGGGAUAGCCUUUCGAAAGAAAGAUUAAUACCUGAUGGUAUCUUAAGCACACAUGUAAUUAAGAUUAAAGAUUUAUCGGUGUACGAUGGGGAUGCGUUCCAUUAGGUAGUAAGGCGGGUAACGGCCCACCUAGCCUACGAUGGAUAGGGGUUCUGAGAGGAAGGUCCCCCACAUUGGAACUGAGACACGGUCCAAACUCCUACGGGAGGCAGCAGUGAGGAAUAUUGGUCAAUGGACGAGAGUCUGAACCAGCCAAGUAGCGUGCAGGAUGACGGCCCUAUGGGUUGUAAACUGCUUUUANAAGGAAUAAGUUAGCCACGUGUGGUUUUUGUAUGUACCGUAUGAAUAA
This 469-nucleotide ribosomal RNA is filed under the name uncultured bacterium. RNAcentral describes it as "bacterial SSU rRNA". It matches the Rfam family "Bacterial small subunit ribosomal RNA", at positions 28 to 489 of the family's 1533-position model. The record is from RNAcentral.